This 896-nucleotide long non-coding RNA is filed under the name Solanum lycopersicum (tomato). Its description in RNAcentral is "long non-coding RNA (SLYC_LNC000738)". The record is from RNAcentral. Lineage: Eukaryota; Viridiplantae; Streptophyta; Magnoliopsida; Solanales; Solanaceae.
CACGUUAAUUAAUUAAACCCCACAAUGUAAGCGAUUUUUCAAAAUUAAAAAGGAAUAAGAAGAAUCAAAAAAUUUAAGAUGAUCAAUAAAUUCAAAAACUCAUACAAUCAUACAAAAUAUUUAAUUAUACAUAAAAUCACUGUUUUCUUUUUAAAACUUUAUAUUCAAUCAAACUACGACGAACAAAAUCCAUCAUAGUAAACCCUAACAUAGAGAGUUCAAAACCAAAUUUGUUGCAUAGAAUUAAACACUACAAAAAAAAUAUAUCAAAAGCCUCUUUAGAUUUCUAUGUUUUCAAGAACCAAGCUUGCAAAUUAAACCAAAAUAUACACCUAGUGACAUAAAAAUAAAAUCAAAACUUCUCAAAUUAAAAAACAUAAAAAAAAAAUAUUUCAAUUCUUCAUGUUCUUCAUCUUGUACCAACCCUUCUUGCAAGAAUCUCCCACAAUCUUUACUCCCUUCAUCAAAAUGAUCUUCAAUUCUUGUGUUCUCUCCUUCACUUGCUUCUCAAAACUUCCCAUAUUUAACUUUCCCUAUAAAAAAUAUUUUAACAUUUUAAUUAACAUUUCAAAUGAGAAAAAUAAUUAAAUAUGAGAGAGUUUUUUCUUUUUUUCAUCAAGAUAACUUUUUUUAAAAAAAAAAAAGUGAAUCACAAUUAGAUAAAAAUUCAAGACAAAACUAUAAUAGUUAUAAACUUUGCAAUAACUAUAAAUUCUUACCGAUAUCUUAGCAACUUUUAUGCAAUAUAACAAUUUUAUUGGCUUACGAUACGAGUAAUUUAAAAUAGAAAUCAAGAACUUAUAUAAGUACAAAUAUUUCUUAAAUGUGAAGAGAAUAUUCAGUUAAAAAGCAAAAGUUUUAAAAGGAGAAGGGCUUCGUGGGAUCCAACUCAUAAG